GGGAUUAAUGUACGAAGAUGAGCUAGUACACUACUGUAUAUAUAUAAAUAUAGAACAACAUGUGACGAAAUCGGAAUUCCUUCCACAUGACGUCACGAAUAAUAAAUUAAAUUUUUCUCUCGAUAAUUAAAGUCUAUAUUACGAAUGCGACUUCUGCUGCUGCUACUACACGUUUUGGGUUCUUUUAAAUCGUCGUUUAAGGUCAACCGGCUGGCCAAGUACGUUGACCACAUGACUCAAGCCUUUAAAUCUUACCUAGCAGUACUUAAACGUGUUAAGACGAGUAACCAGAUCUUAUCAAUAACGAGUUUUUGUCAUUCGAAAGAACACACACGGUAUAUACAUAUAUAUAUAUAUCUAAUAUCCGGAUAAGCAGAAGGAAAUUCCGAAAGUGCGUCGAGUGCAUUUUUUAACGCUAAUUAAAACAAUAUCGAUGAAAAGCGGUUAGAAGAUAAGUGUGCAUGGGUCAGCGUACGAUUUGCAUGGGUGUAACCAGGAAAUGCUAAAAAGUUCCAAACCCGAAAUGCAGGUUUUGUAAACACUUGUUUUUUUUUCGGUCCCACAUUUUAUUACUAUUGUAGUAACGACACACCAAAUUUUGCGAUAAACAAAUUAUUGCGUCUCCAAUGUGGCAUUGGUGUCGUCGAACCGUAGUAACAAACACAAGAUUAAACAAAGGAAGUACAGUACAGUAUAGCGCACAGUUCAAGGUCAAGGCAAAAUAACGAUUCGUCAAUUUAUACUUACAAAGGCUGCUACCGUUGGUACAGAAACCACAAACAUCGGUUUUAAUAGAUAGCAAGGAUGUAACUCGGGCUGUACACGUUUUGCCACAUACACGUGUCUCCCCGCUGGAUUGUACUUUGACCCUGUUAUCGCCAAACCAAACAGAAAUCGAUAAUUCUAGAUAUUAAGAUAUAUUCCCACUCAUUCCCGGUUAUAAUAUUUAUUAUUUAUU
This 958-nucleotide long non-coding RNA is filed under the name Androctonus crassicauda. The record is from RNAcentral. Lineage: Eukaryota; Metazoa; Arthropoda; Arachnida; Scorpiones; Buthidae.